GCCCUUUUAAUUUUUUCGUUGUUUUUUUUUUUUUUUUAAAUUUUGAGAUAGGGUCUUGUCUCUUGAUUUGUACCUUGUGAAACCCAGAGCAGACAAAGAGCUGAUGCCUGAUGUAUGUGAGUUUCUCACACAAUGUGUGAGAUAGCAGGUGCCGGUUUAAGCCACUAAGUUGGUAGUAUUUGUUAUCACAGCAAAAGGAAACUCAUACAAGCUCUCUGCCUCCUCUGCUCAUCCUUGCCUGCCUUGCUCAGGCUUGGCCUUCUCUAAACUCCUGUCAUACUAAACUUUUUUCUUUCCUUCUAGUCCCCUUUGCAUAUCCUGUUCCCCUCUUACAACAGUCAUCUCCCUCCCUCCACUUUGUCUUGGUUAUUUCCUACCUUUAAGUCUUAAUCAAACCACCAUUUUCUAGGGAGGCCUUCUUCAGAGGCAGCACUAUUAGAAAACAGACACUAUUUCUAAAGUCUAAUGUGGCUCUUAUAUCAUCAGGAACAUUCUAGGCUUAAAGUAGCAGGGCACUGGUGAUUUAAAUCCAGUCUUAAGGGAUAGGGAGCCGAUACACUAGCAUUGGGGGACUAACGGGUUGGAAAGAGUGUUGGGGCUUCAAAGCAUUGCUGAGCCACCCUUCCAACCCUAAAUGGCCUUCUAGAAACCUCUCAGCAGACCCUUUACCAUUGGUCAUAACCAUGUCACAUGGGCAUUAACAUUUACAAGGGAGUUUGGGAAACCACAUAGCUGUCAUUAAAAGAUGGGUUUGUCACAGGGAACCCAGGCCAACAGUGAUUUACCCCUUAGGGCUGAGCUCACCCCAAACAAAAUUAGCACUGUGUUUGCAAGAAAGAAGAGUAGGAGGUGGAAAUGAUGAACAUAGGGUAGGUAAUGAACCAUGAAGGGUAUCUGCCAUAAGGAGAUAUAGAUUGAUGAUAGAUGAUAGAGGGUUCAUUUUGCCAUAUAUCACAAAGCACAUCACUUUAUUAAUUAAAAAAAAAUACCAAUUCUUUCAAUAAAACUAAUCAUUUGCUAUAUAAAUCAAC
This 1031-nucleotide long non-coding RNA is filed under the name Marmota monax (woodchuck). Lineage: Eukaryota; Metazoa; Chordata; Mammalia; Rodentia; Sciuridae. The record is from RNAcentral.